GAUGAACGCUGGCGGCGUGCUUAACACAUGCCAGUCGAACGGUGAAGCAGAGCUUGCUCUGUGGAUCAGUGGCGAACGGGUGAGUAACACGUGAGCAACCUGCCCCUGACUCUGGGAUAAGCGCUGGAAACGGCGUCUAAUACUGGAUAUGAGCUGCGACCGCAUGGUCAGCAGUUGGAAAGAUUUUUCGGUCUGGGAUGGGCUCACGGCCUAUCAGCUUGUUGGUGAGGUAAUGGCUCACCAAGGCGUCGACGGGUAGCCGGCCUGAGAGGGUGACCGGCCACACUGGGACUGAGACACGGCCCAGACUCCCACGGGAGGCAGCAGUGGGGAAUAUUGCACAAUGGGCGAAAGCCUGAUGCAACAACGCCGCGUGAGGGAUGACGGCCUUCGGGUUGUAAACCUCUUUUAGCAGGGAAGAAGCGAAAGUGACGGUACCUGCAGAAAAAGCGCCGGCUAACUACGUG
This 467-nucleotide ribosomal RNA is filed under the name uncultured bacterium. RNAcentral describes it as "partial 16S ribosomal RNA". It matches the Rfam family "Bacterial small subunit ribosomal RNA", at positions 28 to 507 of the family's 1533-position model. The record is from RNAcentral.